RNAcentral lists this ribosomal RNA (440 nucleotides) under uncultured bacterium. RNAcentral's name for it is "partial 16S ribosomal RNA". It matches the Rfam family "Bacterial small subunit ribosomal RNA", at positions 338 to 795 of the family's 1533-position model. The record is from RNAcentral.
CCUACGGGUGGCAGCAGUAGGGAAUAUUGCUCAAUGGGGGAAACCCUGAAGCAGCAACGCCGCGUGGAGGAUGAAGGUUUUCGGAUUGUAAACUUCUUUUGUUAGAGAAGAUAAUGACCGUAUCUAAUGAAUAAGCACCUGCUAAAACCGUGCCAGCAGCCGCGGUAAUACGGAGGGUGCAAGCGUUAGUCGGAAUCACUGGGCGUAAAGCGCGUGUAGGCGGGAUAGCAAGUCAGAUGUGAAAUCCUAUGGCUUAACCAUAGAACUGCAUUUGAAACUGUUAUUCUAGAGUGUGGGAGAGGUAAGUGGAAUUCGUGGUGUAGGGGUAAAAUCCGUAGAGAUCAGGAGGAAUACUCGUUGCGAAGGCGACCUGCUAGAACAUAACUGACGCUGAUGCGCGAAAGCGUGGGGAGCAAACAGGAUUAGAUACCCGUGUAGUC